Long non-coding RNA from Mya arenaria, 148 nucleotides. RefSeq lists it as uncharacterized. NCBI's taxonomy places the organism in Eukaryota, Metazoa, Mollusca, Bivalvia, Myida, Myidae. The transcript is spliced from 3 exons. The record is from RefSeq and is a predicted model, not a curated record.
GUGUUUGUGAUUUCAAGUGCAAUGAAACUUUUGGUUUUAUCGUUUAUCAUGGUCGCCGUGCAUGGCAUGUUUGCACAGAUACCGACGCAGAAUAUCUUGAGGUGUCGCUUAUGCAACAAUGCCAGGACAUUAUCCGACUGUUCCACGC